UUUUGAGAUUUUGAAACCUGGCUCCGCUUCUCCCUUGUUUCUAACUCAGUGAGCUCUCUGCAUCUGAACGGCCCGACCUCAGGGGGUUCGUGAUGCCAAAGCUGUGGCUCGGGCCCAUCUCCCACAGUGAAAAGUACAGUCCUUCGGGGAGGUAAAGCCUUUUCCGGGGGGGUUUCAGGUCCUGUUUAUAACAUCCCGGGGGUGCUCCUGGUUGCUAAAGUGGCAGGUUUUUAUUCCUCGAGGAAGUGUCGUGGACCUGCAUCCUCUGCGCAGAGGAAACUUUGGGGCCUGGGCUUACAGGAGCCAUAUGAAGUGUUUCCCUUGAAUGAGGCACCGGGUUUAUCAUCCCUCCAACUCAGCCAUCUCCUCGGACCUUCGCCACCCACCAGCCCUGUCCGCAGGCUCCCACGGUCCAGCAGCACUCAACCAACAAAAACCACCCCUCUGAAGCAAGGGAGGUGCUCCUUCCAUCUGUCCGUCCAAAUGACCAAGCCAGGGGGAUGCGCAAUGCAUACCAACAGCACCGUUUGGGUUGUGGUCUACACCCCUGCCCUUUGCGGAGGCUCUGACUUGGAAGCUCGUUCUGGAUUUGAGCACAUGGGAUGGACAGCUGGAGAUACUCUGACUUCAUUUUGGCUUUCAUGCUUUUCGGGAUGCCGGCUCGUGGUGCAGAAUCGUGCAGUGUCUGAACGUGAGAGGGCUUCCAGCUGUCACUCCCUCCCUGCUCCGCGAUGCAGGUCAGAAAGCAGUUUAUCUGCAUCAGUGGUUGUCAGCCAGGGGCCACAGCACCCUGGGGUGCUGUGAGAUCCCUUUAAGGGUGCCACACACCCUUGAGCAAAAACCUCCAUGUGAUUCACAAGACAAACCCAGACAUUUCAAAAAAAGCUGGACACAUUCACAUCUGUGGUGGCCUUUCUGACCUGUGUGCAACAGGACAGUUGCUCUAUUUUUUUCCCACCGUCUAGAAACAAGUAAAAGCGAAGAGCUGGCAUUUUCUGACAGGGGCCAGGGGUCAAAAGGGGUUGAGAGCCACUGAUCUGAGUCAAGCAGGAAGAUUUUGUUCUUAGGUUUUUAAAUUGGGGCUAAGUUAUGGGGAGAGGCACGGAUGUCAGAAGUUACACCCUUUGGUCAUACUAAAUGACUCCGAGACAAGGUUUAGUUUCCCUGCGCAGGUCAAACAUGCCUGCGCUUUUGGAAUUUUUAUGGAUUAUUAUUUUGUUAUGGGAUAUAUGGAAUAUAAGAACUGGGGAAAAAAUUUAUUUGAUGAUUUUUGCCUAUUUUCCUGUUUGAGAGCUGCCCGGGAGCAAGAGCCAGUUGUCAUCAGUUCAUUUAGUGUGUCAAAGUGUUCAUCAGACCAUGUCUAUGAAUAUUUCUUGAUCUGUAGCUUGCUUCUGAGCACUGCAUAGCAGAUUUUCUUGUUUUUCAAACUGUUUCAUUAGUUCUGAUUGGAGCCAUAGAUCAUGUGAUAUAUCGCGAUUGUCUGAUUGGAGCCAUGUCAUAGAUUUCAUAGAUCUCAUAGACAUCGGGGCUGGAAGGGACCUCGGGAGAUCAUUGAGUCCAGCCCCCCGCCCAAAGGGCAGGAAGUCAGCUGGGGUCAUAGGAUCCCAG
RNAcentral lists this long non-coding RNA (1608 nucleotides) under Crocodylus porosus (Australian saltwater crocodile). RNAcentral's name for it is "lncRNA (ENSCPRG00005012692.1)". Lineage: Eukaryota; Metazoa; Chordata; Crocodylia; Crocodylidae. The record is from RNAcentral.